This 492-nucleotide ribosomal RNA is filed under the name uncultured bacterium. RNAcentral describes it as "partial 16S ribosomal RNA". It matches the Rfam family "Bacterial small subunit ribosomal RNA", at positions 29 to 507 of the family's 1533-position model. The record is from RNAcentral.
AGUGAACGCUGGCGGUAGGCCUAACACAUGCAAGUCGAACGGCAGCACAGUAAGAGCUUGCUCUUACGGGUGGCGAGUGGCGGACGGGUGAGGAAUACAUCGGAAUCUACUUUUUCGUGGGGGAUAACGUAGGGAAACUUACGCUAAUACCGCAUACGACCUACGGGUGAAAGCAGGGGAUUUUCGGACCUUGCGCGAUUGAUUGAGCCGAGGUCGGAUUACCUAGUUGGGGGGGUAAAGGCCCACAAAGGCGACGAUCCGUAGCUGGUCUGAGAGGAUGAUCAGCCACACUGGAACUGAGACACGGUCCAGACUCCUACGGGAGGCAGCAGUGGGGAAUAUUGGACAAUGGGCGCAAGCCUGAUCCAGCCAUACCGCGUGGGUGAAGAAGGCCUUCGGGUUGUAAAGCCCUUUUGUUGGGAAAGAAAAGCAGCAGGUUAAUACCCCGCUGUUCUGACGGUACCCAAAGAAUAAGCACCGGCUAACUUCGUG